ACCCAAAUUUUUAUCCAGGUUGACCUCGGAUCAGGUAGGGAUACCCGCUGAACUUAAGCAUAUCAAUAAGCGGAGGAAAAGAACCAACAGGGAUUGCCCCAGUAACGGCGAGUGAAGCGGCAAGAGC
RNAcentral lists this ribosomal RNA (127 nucleotides) under Penicillium verrucosum. Its description in RNAcentral is "partial 28S ribosomal RNA". The stretch from base 21 to 127 matches the Rfam family "Eukaryotic large subunit ribosomal RNA", at positions 1 to 108 of the family's 3401-position model. The record is from RNAcentral. Lineage: Eukaryota; Fungi; Ascomycota; Eurotiomycetes; Eurotiales; Aspergillaceae. RNAcentral also lists the same sequence under 1 other name.